GCGGACAUAGCUCAGUUGGGAGAGCGUCAGACUGAAGUGGAAUUCGUUCCUCUGAACUUCAUUCAAUAUAUCUGAAGGUCGUGUGUUCAAUCCACACUGGCCGCA
This 105-nucleotide transfer RNA is filed under the name Colletotrichum orchidophilum. It matches the Rfam family "tRNA". From Rfam's summary of the family: Transfer RNA (tRNA) molecules are approximately 80 nucleotides in length. Their secondary structure includes four short double-helical elements and three loops (D, anti-codon, and T loops). Further hydrogen bonds mediate the characteristic L-shaped molecular structure. tRNAs have two regions of fundamental functional importance: the anti-codon, which is responsible for specific mRNA codon recognition, and the 3' end, to which the tRNAs corresponding amino acid is attached (by aminoacyl-tRNA synthetases). tRNAs cope with the degeneracy of the genetic code in two manners: having more than one tRNA (with a specific anti-codon) for a particular amino acid; and 'wobble' base-pairing, i.e. permitting non-standard base-pairing at the 3rd anti-codon position. The record is from Rfam by way of RNAcentral. Lineage: Eukaryota; Fungi; Ascomycota; Sordariomycetes; Glomerellales; Glomerellaceae.